AGGAAGGUGGCGUAUGAAAAUGAUGCCAGCAAGGAUUGCGCUAUGAUCGCCGAGUAUCGGCGGAACGAGAUGCCGGGGUGCUCUCGCACUUAUGGAUGAAAAAGUUACCAUCAUUUACUUGUAUUCCAAAAGAAUGUCAGCUUGAUUGAUUUUCUCCAUAAAUUCUAGCCAGUUUGUUCAUUAGGUGCAUGCUGUGCAUGAAAGCAACAAUUUUGAGUAACGAGCCUCAUCAGGCAAGGCUGCCGGCGGGCCGACAACAACGAGGAAAAUACGCUGUCCAAAACAGGCAAGGUGUGAAUGCAAGGCUUAGGAUGUGACGUGGGGCCUCGUUUUGUAUAUGCUCCUAUGGACUGGGGAACGCAAGCGCAUGAGUAUGUUCUCAACCUGGUGGGGUUCCGAGGACUUUCGCCAAUUGGGAAGUCUAAUGGCAAAUUCCCCUGUAGUUGCGGGUCCUGAGCUUUCCUUUAAGGUUUGCUUUUGGCUGUCUAGGUGACACUUGCGUUGUCUGGUCUGGGUGGGUGUCUUGUGUGGCCUGAUCGUCUCAGGUGCAGUAAUAUUGCACGGCCAGCAAAUGGCCCGCUGGCUCUACUCUUCACGAGUCUAGAGAGGCCACUGUAACAACCACACACACAUCUUGGCGCAAACAGCUGUUAGCUGCAGCUAACAUGUCGUACGGAGUUUUAUCUCUCUGCGGUUGAGGUAUAUCCGUAGGCACGACUACGCAGUUCAGCAAUCGCCACGUAUUAUCCCCCGUGUGAUAGCACGACCCAUUCACGAUGGUUUAAUAGCCGUCAAGGGCACCCAAAAGGUAACCCGGGAUUCGUUGCUGUUGCUGUUACAGAGCGGGAGGCUUUGAACACAUUUGGAUUGUCAUAUCUAGGAUUGAAUACUCUGGAAUACUAUACAGCAUCAUCCCCCAUUACCACGCCAUACGACCUGCAAGUCCAAGGAGGUUGAUUCUGUCUUUUUGCAUCCCUCCUCAUCAUGUCACCUGAACAUCCGUAUAGACAGAGGGUUCAACAAUUGCCACCAAUUUAGCGUGCUAAUCUCGGUCCAUCAGAAGUGACCUCUAGUCCACAUCUCAGCAGCUAGCAACAAUCUCACGCUCCCGACAAUGUCGGGGGUUUUAUUAGGAGUUGAAAUCAGGACCUUAAACCGCAAAUUGCAAUAUUGUCUCCAGACCAGACAUCAAGGGCACCCAAAAUGUAGAUCGGGAUUAGUGUCAUGCAGAGCGGAGUACGGGUGUCUUGCUAACAGGUUUUUGCAGAUGAUCAAAGUAGAAUUACAGACUGCAGGUAUAUUUCAAUUUGCAGAAUACUUGAAAACUUGGCGAUCAAUCUGCAGCCUGCCCGGCACAGUCAAGUAACAAUUCGUACAUCCCGUAUCAACGUCCGCACGCUAGCUUCGCGAGUAAGAGCUCUCAACUUAUUAUCUCUUGUAAAAUCAAACUAAGUAUAGGCGUUUGAUGGCGCCUACUGUUUGCAUCCCCCGCCCAGCGUAGCUGCCAAGCGCGGUGCCAUUUUUGUAUCCAGUUAUUCGACAAAUCCUUUGUGUGGAAGGCAUUAACGCAACAUAAAUCCACAAGCGCGCAGUCCUUGCGCUAUAACGAUGGAUUAGUCCAGCACCAUCCUGGGCCUGCAUGACCGUGCAUACGGCAUAGCUUUUCUG
Molecule: long non-coding RNA, 1668 nt
Filed under: Volvox carteri
Lineage: Eukaryota; Viridiplantae; Chlorophyta; Chlorophyceae; Chlamydomonadales; Volvocaceae
Description: long non-coding RNA (VCAR_LNC002664)
Source: RNAcentral